This 812-nucleotide ribosomal RNA is filed under the name uncultured bacterium. RNAcentral describes it as "bacterial SSU rRNA". It matches the Rfam family "Bacterial small subunit ribosomal RNA", at positions 64 to 873 of the family's 1533-position model. The record is from RNAcentral.
GAACGAGAAAGUUCUUCGGAACGAGUAUAGUGGCGAACGGGUGAGUAACGCGUAAGUAUUUACCCUUUAGUGAAGAAUACCCUCGAGAAAUCGAGGUUAAUACUGCAUACGUCCCUUCGGGGAGAAAGGUGGCCUCUUGCUACCGCUAAAGGAUGAGCUUGCGUACUAUUAGCUUGUUGGUGAGGUAAAGGCUCACCAAGGCUAUGAUGGUUAGCCGGCCUGAGAGGGUGACCGGCCACAUUGGGACUGAGAUACGGCCCAGACUCCUACGGGAGGCAGCAGUGGGGAAUCUUGCACAAUGGGCGAAAGCCUGAUGCAGCGACGCCGCGUGGAGGAUGACGGUCUUCGGAUUGUAAACUCCUGUUAAGAGGGAAGAAAGGCGCGUGGUUAAUAUCCGCGCGAGAUGACGGUACCUCUAGAGAAAGCUCCGGCUAACUUCGUGCCAGCAGCCGCGGUAAUACGAAGGGAGCGAGCGUUAUUCGGAAUUACUGGGCGUAAAGUGCGCGUAGGCGGCCUGUUAAGUCAGUUGUUAAAGACCAUGGCUUACCCAUGGAAAAGCAGUUGAUACUGGCGGGCUGAGAGGGCAAGAGAGAGAAGUGGAAUUCUCGGAGUAGCGGUAAAAUGCGUAGAUCUCGAGAGGAACACCGAUGGCGAAGGCAGCUUCUUGGCUUGUACCUGACGCUGAGGCGCGAAAGCGUGGGGAGCAAACAGGAUUAGAUACCCUGGUAGUCCACGCCGUAAACGAUGAUCACUAGAUGUUGGGUUUCGCAUAGCGAGAUCAGUGUCAAAGCUAACGCGUUAAGUGAUCCGCC